RNAcentral lists this ribosomal RNA (484 nucleotides) under uncultured bacterium. RNAcentral's name for it is "partial 16S ribosomal RNA". It matches the Rfam family "Bacterial small subunit ribosomal RNA", at positions 30 to 507 of the family's 1533-position model. The record is from RNAcentral.
AUUGAACGCUGGCGGCAGGCCUAACACAUGCAAGUCGAGCGGAUGAAGGGAGCUUGCUCCUGGAUUCAGCGGCCGACGGGCGAGUAAUUACUAGGAAUCUGCCUGGUAUUGGGGGAUAACGUACGGUAACGGGCCCUAAUACCGCAUACGUCCUGAUGGAGAACGGGGUGGAUCUUCAGACUACGCGCGAUCUGCUGAGCCUAGGCCGGAUUAGCUAGUUGGUGGGGUAAAGGCUUACCAAGGCGACGAUCCGUAACUGGUCUGAGAGGAUGAUCAGACACACUGGAACUGAGACACGGUCCAGACUCCUACGGGAGGCAGCAGUGGGGAAUAUUGGGCAAUGGGCGAAAGCCUGACCCAGCAAUGCCGCGUGAGUGAAGAAGGUCUUCGGAUUGUAAAGCACUUUAAGUUGGGAGGAAGAACAGUAAGUUAAUACCUUGCUGUCUUGACGUUACCAACAGAAUAAGCACCGGCUAACUUCGUG